UAGUGAUAUUGAUCGAUGGAUUCUUCAUUUAUCAAGAAGCUCUAUUAAAGAAUUCAUACUUGAAAUAUGGAAGGGACAGCGCUACAAAGUACCAUCUUCUUUAUUCUCAUUUGAACAUCUGAUACAUUUGGAGCUAUUCAAUUGUUUGCUAAAACCUCCUUUAUCAUUCAAAGGGUUCCGGAAUUUGAAGAGCCUUGACCUUCAGCACAUUACCCUGACUCAGCAAGU
This 228-nucleotide unclassified non-coding RNA is filed under the name Hevea brasiliensis (rubber tree). Lineage: Eukaryota; Viridiplantae; Streptophyta; Magnoliopsida; Malpighiales; Euphorbiaceae. The record is from RNAcentral.